AACCUUUGCAAUGUGCGAAAGCACGACAAGGUUAAUCCGAGUGAUUCCUGCUAAAGGAAUCUUUUGUUAGUCAUAAAACCACUGAUGAAUAAGGGGUGGGCAAGUUCUGGUGUCAGCCGCCGCGGUAAUACCAGCACCUCGAGUGGUCAGGAGGUUUAUUGGGCCUAAAGCAUCCGUAGCCGGCUGCUCAAGUUUCCGGUUAAAUCCACACGCUUAACGUAUGGGCUGCCGGAAAUACUGUUCAGCUAGGGAGUGGGAGAGGUAGACGGUACUCGAUAGGAAGGGGUAAAAUCCUUUGAUCUAUUGAUGACCACCUGUGGCGAAGGCGGUCUACCAGAACACGUUCGACGGUGAGGGAUGAAAGCUGGGGGAGCAAACCGGAUUAGAUACCCGAGUAGUCCCAGCUGUAAACGAUGCAGACUCGGUGAUGCAUUGGCUUAUGGCCAGUGCAGUGCCGCAGGGAAGCCGUUAAGUUUGCCGCCUGGGAAGUACGUACGCAAGUAUGAAACUUAA
This 513-nucleotide ribosomal RNA is filed under the name uncultured archaeon. Its description in RNAcentral is "bacterial SSU rRNA". It matches the Rfam family "Archaeal small subunit ribosomal RNA", at positions 345 to 859 of the family's 1478-position model. The record is from RNAcentral.